Molecule: ribosomal RNA, 253 nt
Filed under: uncultured bacterium
Lineage: Bacteria
Description: partial 16S ribosomal RNA
Rfam family: Bacterial small subunit ribosomal RNA
Source: RNAcentral
UACAGAGGGUGCGAGCGUUGUCCGGAAUCACUGGGCGUAAAGGGCGCGUAGGCGGCCUGAUAAGUAGGGGGUGAAAUCCUGUGGCUUAACUGCAGGGCUGCCUCCUAGACUGUUAGGCUCGAGCACGGUAGAGGCAGAUGGAAUUCCCGGUGUAGCGGUGGAAUGCGUAGAGAUCGGGAAGAACAUCGGUGGCGAAGGCAGAUCUCUGGGCCGUAACUGACGCUGAGGAGCGAAAGCAUGGGGAGCGAACAGG